This 542-nucleotide ribosomal RNA is filed under the name uncultured archaeon. RNAcentral describes it as "bacterial SSU rRNA". It matches the Rfam family "Archaeal small subunit ribosomal RNA", at positions 457 to 997 of the family's 1478-position model. The record is from RNAcentral.
GGCAGCAGCCGCGGGAACACCGGCAGCUCUAGUGGUAGCUGUUUUAUUGGGCCUAAAGCGUUCGUAGCCGGUUUAAUAAGUCUCUGGUGAAAUCCUAUAGCUUAACUGUGGGAAUUGCUGGAGAUACUAUUAGACUUGAGAUCGGGAGAGGUCAGAGGUACUCCUGGGGUAGGGGUGAAAUCCUGUAAUCCUAGGAGGACCACCUGUGGCGAAGGCGUCUGACUAGAACGAAUCUGACGGUGAGGAACGAAAGCUAGGGGCGCGAACCGGAUUAGAUACCCGGGUAGUCCUAGCCGUAAACUAUGCGGACUUGGUGUGAGGGUGGCUUUGAGCCGUCCUGGUGCCGAAGGGAAGCUGUUAAGUCCGCCGCCUGGGAAGUACGGUCGCAAGACUGAAACUUAAAGGAAUUGGCGGGGGAGCACCACAACGCGUGGAGCCCUGCGGUUUAAUUGGAUUCAACGCCGGAGAUCUCACCAGCGGCGACAGCAGUAUGAUGACCAGGUUGAUGACUUUUGUUUGACAAGCUGAGGGGUGGUGCAUGG